This 319-nucleotide ribosomal RNA is filed under the name uncultured eukaryote. Its description in RNAcentral is "partial 18S ribosomal RNA". It matches the Rfam family "Eukaryotic small subunit ribosomal RNA", at positions 1470 to 1796 of the family's 1831-position model. The record is from RNAcentral.
CCCUUAGAUGGUCUGGGCGGCACGCGCGCUACAAUGAUGCAUUCAAAAAGUCUUCUGACCUUAGAAGGUUGGGUAUGCUCCAAAGUGCCUCGUGAUGGGAAUAGUUUCCUGCAAUUUUUAAUCUCGAACGAGGAAUUCCUAGUAGGCACAGGUCAUCAACUUGUGUUGAUUACGUCCCUGCCCUUUGUACACACCGCCCGUUGCCCCUACUGAUUGAGUGUCUCGGUGAAUUAUUUGAUCUUCUGUCGAUUCAGUUCACUGAUCCGACGGUGGAAAGUUGAAUGAACUUCGUCACUUAGAGGAAGGAGAAGUCGUAACA